UGACUGACAGUAGCUAAUGAAUAAGCCCCGGCUAAUUCCGUGCCAGCAGCCGCGGUAAUACGGAAGGGGCAAACGUUACUCGGAUUUACUGGGCGUAAAGGGUGAGUAGGCGGAACGGUUAGUCUAGGGUGAAAGACUGGGGCUCAACCCCAGGAACGCCUUGGAUACUGCCGUUCUUGAGUAAGAUAGAGGGUGACAGAAUUCCUGGUGUAAGGGUGGAAUCUGUAGAGAUCAGGAAGAAUACCAAUGGCGAAGGCAGUCGCCUGGGUCUUAACUGACGCUGAAUCACGAAANCUAGGGGAGCGAACGGGAUUAGAUACCCCGGUAGUCCUAGCCGUAAACGUUGUACACUAGGUG
This 357-nucleotide ribosomal RNA is filed under the name uncultured bacterium. RNAcentral describes it as "bacterial SSU rRNA". It matches the Rfam family "Bacterial small subunit ribosomal RNA", at positions 466 to 822 of the family's 1533-position model. The record is from RNAcentral.